CAGAGUUCAUGCCCUCACGGGUAGAUCUCCCACCCUUGUGUAUUCUUACCUGUGUUGCUUUGGCAGGCCGCUGGGCUUCGGCCUGGCCACCGGCUGCAUGGCUGGUGCGCGCCUGCCAGAGGAUCUCCCAACUCUGGUCAUCAGUGUCGUCUGAGUAUCAUACAAUCGUUA
Molecule: unclassified non-coding RNA, 171 nt
Filed under: uncultured fungus
Lineage: Eukaryota; Fungi
Also listed under: 1 other name
Description: sequence contains ITS1, 5.8S rRNA gene
Source: RNAcentral